Molecule: long non-coding RNA, 1996 nt
Filed under: Anser cygnoides (Swan goose)
Lineage: Eukaryota; Metazoa; Chordata; Aves; Anseriformes; Anatidae
Description: lncRNA (ENSACDG00005017870.1)
Source: RNAcentral
AGAAAAAUAUGUUUCAACUGUUGUUUUUUCAGCUAUGGGCGGGAAAUCAAAUAGAGUGGUUUUGGGUAUUUUGGCUAUUAUUCAGAACAGCAUGUGGAGGGAGACAGAUUUGUUUAUUUUUACUGCAAUGGUUUCAGAAGCAAGAGGGGAAAAACGCUUUCUCUGGGAGCUGAAGAAGGUGUAAUAAUCACAGGAUGGUUUUCUAAAGGGAGUAUCUUUUAGAGUUUUCCUGUAGUACUGUUUUUUUUUUUUUUCUUUUUUUACUUAACAAGGUUUUACUCUUAAUAUUCAGCUCCCUCAGCAGAAGUGAGAAAUGUGUUUUUAUUUUGUGCAGCGUCCUGGGACCUCAGAAAUCUACUCAGAUUAUACUCUUAUCGAAACUGUAGUGAUGGAAGAGGGAAGGAAUGUGGUAUCGAGAUAUGCUUGCAGUGGUAAGAAAGCUUAACAGAGAACCUUGUAAAAUGCAGACAACCAGAUUCCUCAGUGCAAUUAGGCGAAAAUCACAGUGUCAAGUCAGGUAAGUGAAGAAACAUUACCACCUCAAAGAGUAAAAAAGUCAAAAGAAAUUUGAAAAGUAACAGGCUGGCAACUGAAAGCCAUGGAUUGUCUGUGAAGCAUCGGAUAGGUUGUGAACCUGCAUUACCCACUCAAUGGGGAAACAGGGGAGGGUCCUGGUCGUCGAGAAAUAAAGUAGAUAAACUGUACUAUGCAACUAGUAGGUGCGCUCCUGCUUGUGGGACGCACGCCAUUGCAAUCGCGGAUAAAAAUGCUACUUCACUGACUCAGAUCGUCGCCUGAGCCUAUGUUAUUGGCUACAGAGUGUUUCUCACAGCCUGACACUGGAGUUCUAAAAAUCUUUCAUCGAUUUUACAGAAAAAGCGAUUUCACGGGAGAGAAGGAAGGAAAAAAAAAAAAAAGUAGCCCUGCCCGCCUCAAUCCCCGGCUCCGCUGCACAACGCCCCUGCCCCGAGCCGAUCACCUCGGUGAGUGGCCGCAAAAUGGCCGACGUAAACGGCCCGCCGCUGCCGGCUCCCCCCACAGCUCGGCAGCCUCCCUCUCGAGGGCUGCCGGGGCCUGCCGGCUCCCUCGGCUGCCUCGAGUGGCCUCGAUGCCGGGAAAAAAGCCCUGCCCGCCUCGAUCCCCCCGCUCCGCUGCAGAACGGGUCCACUCCAGAGUCGAUCGUCUCGGCGAGUCCCUCCAGUCAUCCUUAGCUAUUACACAUAAAUGCCAAGGUACGAAGGACAUAUCUAACAACUACGUACCUGUUAAUGGCUUGUCUAUUACAAUGCUGGAUAAAGUUGUGGAAGGGCAAUUCUCUAGACCAAAUGAAGAAUUUGGUGAUAAAAAAAUGGGAAGACGACACCAUGCACAUGAAAAAAGAUUAAAAAAAAAAAAGAUACGCGACACUAACAAAACUGACAAAGAGCAUUACGGAAGAAAGAGGGAACAUUCUCAUACUGGAGAGGAGAGUCAAAAAGAUGGUCAUUCCACCAAGGGAAGACUUUAUGAUUUGUAUUUCUCUGCGCUCCACUUUGACAAUGCCAAUCGCAAGCGUAACAAAAAGAAGAAAAAGGAGAAACAUGAGGAAAGUGAAAGGCUUCUUGGAAUACUUAGAUCCUCGUUUCCAGAAGAAAACCCGUGAGAAGAAGGAAGAAUCCCAUCCUCCAGGUGGCUCUUUAUGAGAGCAAUGCAGAAGUGAGGGCAGUAAACAACCUUACAAAGGGAAGCCUUCCGGUGCAGGUGAAAGCAAGAAAUACAGCUCCAUCGCAUCCAGCGAGUAUAUUAAAGGUAAGUGGCUGCAGCAUGUAUAUGGGUUUCCUUUUAGAUUAAUAUAGAGAUUAUUUAAAACAGUCUUUAAAUGCUUGAUGACUGAACAGUCUGCUGGAGAUUAAAAAGAAAAGUUGAUAGACUUUUUUUUUCUUUUUCCAUUUUUGAAUGACCCCUAGGAAUGAAAGCCUGAAAUAAAGAGGUUAAAGGCAAAUAAUUGUAAUUUGAC